RNAcentral lists this ribosomal RNA (253 nucleotides) under uncultured bacterium. RNAcentral's name for it is "partial 16S ribosomal RNA". It matches the Rfam family "Bacterial small subunit ribosomal RNA", at positions 524 to 776 of the family's 1533-position model. The record is from RNAcentral.
UACAGAGGUCCCAAGCGUUGUUCGGAUUCACUGGGCGUAAAGGGUGCGUAGGUGGCUUGGUAAGUUUGAUGUGAAAUCUCCGGGCUUAACCCGGAAAUGGCAUUGAAUACUAUUGAGCUGGAGGUUUGGAGGGGGGACUGGAAUUCUCGGUGUAGCAGUGAAAUGCGUAGAUAUCGAGAGGAACACCAGUGGCGAAGGCGAGCCCCUGGACAACACCUGACACUGAGGCACGAAAGCUAGGGGAGCAAACAGG